CGGCGGACGGGUGAGUAACGCGUGGGUAACCUGCCUCAUACAGGGGGAUAACAGUUGGAAACGGCUGCUAAUACCGCAUAAGCGCACAGUACCGCAUGGUACGGUGUGAAAAACUCCGGUGGUGUGAGAUGAUCCGCGUCUGAUUAGUUAGUUGGCGGGGUAACGGCCCACCAGGACAGCGAUCAGUAGCCGACCUGAGAGGGUGACCGGCCACAUUGGGACUGAGACACGGCCCAA
This 237-nucleotide ribosomal RNA is filed under the name uncultured bacterium. Its description in RNAcentral is "partial 16S ribosomal RNA". It matches the Rfam family "Bacterial small subunit ribosomal RNA", at positions 96 to 334 of the family's 1533-position model. The record is from RNAcentral.